Molecule: ribosomal RNA, 253 nt
Filed under: uncultured bacterium
Lineage: Bacteria
Description: partial 16S ribosomal RNA
Rfam family: Bacterial small subunit ribosomal RNA
Source: RNAcentral
UACGUAGGGCGCAAGCGUUGUCCGGAAUUAUUGGGCGUAAAGGGCGCGUAGGCGGCUUUGCAAGUGACGGGUGAAAGCCCUCGGCUUAACCGAGGAACUGCCUGUCAGACUGUAAGGCUUGAGACCGGGAGAGGUGAGUGGAAUUCCCAGUGUAGCGGUGAAAUGCGUAGAUAUUGGGAGGAACACCAGUGGCGAAGGCGGCUCACUGGACCGGAACUGACGCUGAGGCGCGAAAGCGUGGGGAGCAAACAGG